This 254-nucleotide ribosomal RNA is filed under the name uncultured bacterium. RNAcentral describes it as "partial 16S ribosomal RNA". It matches the Rfam family "Bacterial small subunit ribosomal RNA", at positions 524 to 776 of the family's 1533-position model. The record is from RNAcentral.
UACGAAGGGUGCAAGCGUUAAUCGGAAUUACUGGGCGUAAAGCGUGCGUAGGCGGUUUGUUAAGUCUGCUGUGAAAUCCCCGGGCUCAACCUGGGAAUGGCAGUGGAUACUGGCAAGCUAGAGUGUGUCAGAGGAUGGUGGAAUUCCCGGUGUAGCGGUGAAAUGCGUAGAGAUCGGGAGGAACAUCAGUGGCGAAGGCGGCCAUCUGGGACAAGCACUGACGCUGAGGCACGAAAGCGUGGGGAGCAAACAGG